This 2771-nucleotide ribosomal RNA is filed under the name Vibrio cholerae. RNAcentral describes it as "23S ribosomal RNA". It matches the Rfam family "Bacterial large subunit ribosomal RNA". Lineage: Bacteria; Pseudomonadati; Pseudomonadota; Gammaproteobacteria; Vibrionales; Vibrionaceae. The record is from RNAcentral.
UUAAGUGACUAAGCGUACACGGUGGAUGCCUGGGCAGUCAGAGGCGAUGAAGGACGUACUAACUUGCGAUAAGCGCAGAUAAGGCAGUAAGAGCCGUUUGAGUCUGCGAUUUCCGAAUGGGGAAACCCAACUGCAUAAGCAGUUACUGUUAACUGAAUACAUAGGUUAACAGAGCAAACCGGGGGAACUGAAACAUCUAAGUACCCCGAGGAGAAGAAAUCAACCGAGAUUCCGGUAGUAGCGGCGAGCGAACCUGGAUUAGCCCUUAAGCACUCGGUGAAGUAGGUGAACAAGCUGGAAAGCUUGGCGAUACAGGGUGAUAGCCCCGUAACCGACGCUUCAUCGAGCGUGAAAUCGAGUAGGGCGGGACACGUGAUAUCCUGUCUGAAUAUGGGGGGACCAUCCUCCAAGGCUAAAUACUCCUGACUGACCGAUAGUGAACCAGUACCGUGAGGGAAAGGCGAAAAGAACCCCUGUGAGGGGAGUGAAAUAGAACCUGAAACCGUGUACGUACAAGCAGUAGGAGCACCUUCGUGGUGUGACUGCGUACCUUUUGUAUAAUGGGUCAGCGACUUAUAUUCAGUGGCAAGGUUAACCGUAUAGGGGAGCCGUAGCGAAAGCGAGUCUUAACUGGGCGCUCAGUCUCUGGAUAUAGACCCGAAACCGGGUGAUCUAGCCAUGGGCAGGUUGAAGGUUGAGUAACAUCAACUGGAGGACCGAACCGACUAAUGUUGAAAAAUUAGCGGAUGACUUGUGGCUAGGGGUGAAAGGCCAAUCAAACUCGGAGAUAGCUGGUUCUCCCCGAAAGCUAUUUAGGUAGCGCCUCGGACGAAUACUACUGGGGGUAGAGCACUGUUAAGGCUAGGGGGUCAUCCCGACUUACCAACCCUUUGCAAACUCCGAAUACCAGUAAGUACUAUCCGGGAGACACACGGCGGGUGCUAACGUCCGUCGUGGAGAGGGAAACAACCCAGACCGCCAGCUAAGGUCCCAAAGUAUUGCUAAGUGGGAAACGAUGUGGGAAGGCUCAGACAGCUAGGAUGUUGGCUUAGAAGCAGCCAUCAUUUAAAGAAAGCGUAAUAGCUCACUAGUCGAGUCGGCCUGCGCGGAAGAUGUAACGGGGCUAAGCAAUACACCGAAGCUGCGGCAAUGAAGUUUACUUCAUUGGGUAGGGGAGCGUUCUGUAAGCCGUUGAAGGUGGCUCGUAAGGGCUGCUGGAGGUAUCAGAAGUGCGAAUGCUGACAUGAGUAACGACAAAGGGGGUGAAAAACCUCCUCGCCGGAAGACCAAGGGUUCCUGUCCAACGUUAAUCGGGGCAGGGUGAGUCGACCCCUAAGGUGAGGCCGAAAGGCGUAAUCGAUGGGAAACGGGUUAAUAUUCCCGUACUUCUGACUAUUGCGAUGGGGGGACGGAGAAGGCUAGGUGGGCCAGGCGACGGUUGUCCUGGUUCAAGUGCGUAGGCUUGAGAGUUAGGUAAAUCCGGCUCUCUCUAAGGCUGAGACACGACGUCGAGCUGCUACGGCAGUGAAGUCAUUGAUGCCAUGCUUCCAGGAAAAGCCUCUAAGCUUCAGAUAGUCAGGAAUCGUACCCCAAACCGACACAGGUGGUCGGGUAGAGAAUACCAAGGCGCUUGAGAGAACUCGGGUGAAGGAACUAGGCAAAAUGGUACCGUAACUUCGGGAGAAGGUACGCUCUUGAUGGUGAAGUCCCUCGCGGAUGGAGCUGACGAGAGUCGCAGAUACCAGGUGGCUGCAACUGUUUAUUAAAAACACAGCACUGUGCAAAAUCGCAAGAUGACGUAUACGGUGUGACGCCUGCCCGGUGCCGGAAGGUUAAUUGAUGGGGUUAGCGCAAGCGAAGCUCUUGAUCGAAGCCCCGGUAAACGGCGGCCGUAACUAUAACGGUCCUAAGGUAGCGAAAUUCCUUGUCGGGUAAGUUCCGACCUGCACGAAUGGCGUAAUGAUGGCCACGCUGUCUCCACCCGAGACUCAGUGAAAUUGAAAUCGCUGUGAAGAUGCAGUGUACCCGCGGCUAGACGGAAAGACCCCGUGAACCUUUACUACAGCUUGGCACUGAACAUUGAACCUACAUGUGUAGGAUAGGUGGGAGGCUAUGAAGACGUGACGCCAGUUGCGUUGGAGCCGUCCUUGAAAUACCACCCUUGUAUGUUUGAUGUUCUAACUUAGACCCAUUAUCUGGGUUGAGGACAGUGCCUGGUGGGUAGUUUGACUGGGGCGGUCUCCUCCCAAAGAGUAACGGAGGAGCACGAAGGUGGGCUAAUCACGGUUGGACAUCGUGAGGUUAGUGCAAUGGCAUAAGCCCGCUUAACUGCGAGAAUGACGGUUCGAGCAGGUGCGAAAGCAGGUCAUAGUGAUCCGGUGGUUCUGUAUGGAAGGGCCAUCGCUCAACGGAUAAAAGGUACUCCGGGGAUAACAGGCUGAUACCGCCCAAGAGUUCAUAUCGACGGCGGUGUUUGGCACCUCGAUGUCGGCUCAUCACAUCCUGGGGCUGAAGUCGGUCCCAAGGGUAUGGCUGUUCGCCAUUUAAAGUGGUACGCGAGCUGGGUUUAGAACGUCGUGAGACAGUUCGGUCCCUAUCUGCCGUGGGCGUUGGAAGAUUGAAGGGGGCUGCUCCUAGUACGAGAGGACCGGAGUGGACGAACCUCUGGUGUUCGGGUUGUGUCGCCAGACGCAUUGCCCGGUAGCUAAGUUCGGAAUUGAUAAGCGCUGAAAGCAUCUAAGCGCGAAGCGAGCCCUGAGAUGAGUCUUCCC